UGGAAGGAAGGUGGGGUUUAAAAGAAGGGAGGAAAAUGUCAUUUCUCGGAUAAGAAUAGGUCAUACAGGUCUCAAUCAUACAUUAAGUAUAAUAGGAAAGCAUCCAACCGGAAAGUGUAUACACUGUAGCCAGCCAGAAACUGUUGAGCAUGUUUUACUGCUUUGCAGGAAAUAUAGUACUCAGAGAAAUGUGUUUUUCCAGACACUGAAGAAAGCAAAAUUCCAUGAGUUGUCGCUAUCAGGACUGUUAGGGAAAACAUCAGGCAAUAUAUAUUGUGAGAUUAUUAAGUUUCUAAGAGAAAUUGAUCAAUUUAAAAUAAUCUAGAGUUUUGGUUCUUUGUUUUGUUUCUUUUGUUUAUUGUUUUCUGCUUAGUCUCUUGUCCACACUCCAGUCCAGUUGGUGGCGGUAAUGCACCUACAAGUUGGUUUGCCAACCGCCAA
Notothenia coriiceps (black rockcod) is the source of this 441-nucleotide long non-coding RNA. RefSeq lists it as uncharacterized. The record is from RefSeq and is a predicted model, not a curated record. NCBI's taxonomy places the organism in Eukaryota, Metazoa, Chordata, Actinopteri, Perciformes, Nototheniidae. The transcript has 2 exons.